RNAcentral lists this ribosomal RNA (292 nucleotides) under uncultured microorganism. RNAcentral's name for it is "partial 16S ribosomal RNA". It matches the Rfam family "Bacterial small subunit ribosomal RNA", at positions 505 to 796 of the family's 1533-position model. The record is from RNAcentral.
GUGCCAGCAGCCGCGGUAAUACGUAGGGUACGAGCGUUGUCCGGAAUUAUUGGGCGUAAAGAGCUCGUAGGUGGUUGGUCGCGUCUGCUGUGGAAACGCAACGCUUAACGUUGCGCGUGCAGUGGGUACGGGCUGACUAGAGUGCAGUAGGGGAGUCUGGAAUUCCUGGUGUAGCGGUGAAAUGCGCAGAUAUCAGGAGGAACACCGGUGGCGAAGGCGGGACUCUGGGCUGUGACUGACACUGAGGAGCGAAAGCAUGGGGAGCGAACAGGAUUAGAUACCCUGGUAGUCC